This 252-nucleotide ribosomal RNA is filed under the name uncultured bacterium. RNAcentral describes it as "partial 16S ribosomal RNA". It matches the Rfam family "Bacterial small subunit ribosomal RNA", at positions 524 to 776 of the family's 1533-position model. The record is from RNAcentral.
UACGGAGGAUGCGAGCGUUAUCCGGAUUUAUUGGGUUUAAAGGGUGCGUAGGCGGGCAUUUAAGCCGGCGGUCAAAUGUCGGGGCUCAACCCCGGCCUGCCGUCGGAACUGGGUGCCUUGAGUGGGCGAGAAGUAUGCGGAAUGCGUGGUGUAGCGGUGAAAUGCAUAGAUAUCACGCAGAACCCCGAUUGCGAAGGCAGCAUACCGGCGCCCUACUGACGCUGAGGCACGAAAGUGCGGGCAUCGAACAGG